GGUAGAGUGAGCUCCAAUCCAAUAUUACCAGUUUCCUCUUAUAAAGAAACUAGUAAUAUUGGAUUAGAGCUCACUCCACU
RNAcentral lists this microRNA precursor (80 nucleotides) under Pongo abelii (Sumatran orangutan). RNAcentral's name for it is "miRNA". Lineage: Eukaryota; Metazoa; Chordata; Mammalia; Primates; Hominidae. The record is from RNAcentral.